This 509-nucleotide ribosomal RNA is filed under the name uncultured bacterium. RNAcentral's name for it is "partial 16S ribosomal RNA". The stretch from base 20 to 332 matches the Rfam family "Bacterial small subunit ribosomal RNA", at positions 47 to 358 of the family's 1533-position model. The record is from RNAcentral.
GACGAACGCUGGCGGCGUGCUUAACACAUGCAAGUCGAACGGAAAGGCCCUGCUUUUGUGGGGUGCUCGAGUGGCGAACGGGUGAGUAACACGUGAGUAACCUGCCCUUGACUUUGGGAUAACUUCAGGAAACUGGGGCUAAUACCGGAUAGGAGCUCCUGCUGCAUGGUGGGGGUUGGAAAGUUUCGGCGGUUGGGGAUGGACUCGCGGCUUAUCAGCUUGUUGGUGGGGUAGUGGCUUACCAAGGCUUUGACGGGUAGCCGGCCUGAGAGGGUGACCGGCAAGAGGGAGAAGGAGAGACGGCCAAGACGAGGAGGGGAGGGAGGAGGGGGGAAGAGAGGACGAUGGGAGGGAGAGUGAGGCAGCAAGGGAGGGUGGGGGAGGACGGGCGUAGGGUUGUAAGCAGGGUGGGGCGGGGAGGAAGAGGGGGUGAAGGUAAGGGGAAAAGAAGCACCGGCGAAGGACGUGACAGCAGCAGCGGUAAGAAGAGGAAGAGAAAACGUAUGAAC